CAUUAUGUUUACAUUCGUAUAUGCUGGUUGGGAAGGAAGUGAGAAUGAUUCUCGCAUAUUCUUAUAUGCAAUUUCAAAGCCUGAAAGUGGGUUUCCCAUGGCACCCGAAGGUUAUUACUACGUUGUUGAUGGUGGUUUCCCAAAUGUAACUAGUUUUUUUGGCACCAUAUACCGCGGGGAGCACUAUCACUUGAAUGAGUUUCGUGGCCAAGGACAAAUACGAAAUAAGCAAGCCCUAUUUAAUUAUCGACACUCAUCAUUGCGGAAUGUGAUUGAGAGAUGUUUUGGACUUUUAAAGGCGAGAUUUUCAAUUCUAAAGUCCAUUAAUGGCUACCCAUUGAUUAGACAAAGACAAUCCCUAUUGCAUGUUGUGCAUUACACAAUUUCAUACGGUUGGAAGAUAUGGAUGAUCAAUUAGGUAUGAUGUACGGAACGCAAAACAUGAUUUUGGAUGAUGAUGGUGGAAGUACUAGUGGAGGUGAAAAUGAUACAAUACAAUUAGAUAUGAGUCAACAACAUAAAAUGCUACAACUGCAUGAGGACAUUGCAAAUGCACUCUGGGCAAGUUAUAAUCAUUGAUGAUGUACUCAAUUUAAUUUGUAGAUGUUUUAGUAA
Long non-coding RNA from Ipomoea nil (Japanese morning glory), 615 nucleotides. RefSeq lists it as uncharacterized. Lineage: Eukaryota; Viridiplantae; Streptophyta; Magnoliopsida; Solanales; Convolvulaceae. The transcript has 4 exons. The record is from RefSeq and is a predicted model, not a curated record.